AGCAGUAGCCGCGGUAAUACAGAGGGUGCGAGCGUUAAUCGGAUUUACUGGGCGUAAAGCGUGCGUAGGCGGCUAAUUGAGUCGGAUGUGAAAUCCCCGAGCUUAACUUGUGAAUUGCAUUCGAUACUGGUUAGCUAGAGUGUGGGAGAGGAUGGUAGAAUUCCAGGUGUAGCGGUGAAAUGCGUAGAGAUCUGGAGGAAUACCGAUGGCGAAGGCAGCCAUCUGGCCUAACACUGACGCUGAGGUACGAAAGCAUGGGGAGCAAACAGGAUUAGAUACCCGCGUAGUCCCUGUCUCUUAUAC
This 303-nucleotide ribosomal RNA is filed under the name uncultured bacterium. RNAcentral's name for it is "partial 16S ribosomal RNA". It matches the Rfam family "Bacterial small subunit ribosomal RNA", at positions 507 to 807 of the family's 1533-position model. The record is from RNAcentral.